UGGGGAAUCUUGGACAAUGGGCGCAAGCCUGAUCCAGCCAUGCCGCGUGGAUGAUGAAGGCCUUAGGGUUGUAAAAUCCUUUCGUUGGGGACGAUAAUGACGGUACCCAAAGAAGAAGCUCCGGCUAACUUCGUGCCAGCAGCCGCGGUAAUACGAAGGGGGCUAGCGUUGUUCGGAUUUACUGGGCGUAAAGCGCGUGUAGGCGGACUUGUAAGUUGGGGGUGAAAUCCCGAGGCUCAACCUCGGAACUGCCUCCAAAACUACAAAUCUGGACCUAAGUAGAGGCAAGUGGAAUUGCGAGUGUAGAGGUGAAAUUCGUAGAUAUUCGCAGGAACACCAGUGGCGAAGGCGACUUGCUGGACUUAUGGUGACGCUGAGACGCGAAAGCGUGGGGAGCAAACAGGAUUAGAUACCCCCGUAGUCCCUGAGCGGGCUGGCAAGGCGCAU
RNAcentral lists this ribosomal RNA (447 nucleotides) under uncultured bacterium. RNAcentral's name for it is "bacterial SSU rRNA". It matches the Rfam family "Bacterial small subunit ribosomal RNA", at positions 355 to 825 of the family's 1533-position model. The record is from RNAcentral.